AUGGCACUGAAUCAAGGCGGGCAGUUUUCUGAAGCUGUUGCUUUAAAGCGGGCACCUAAUGUUGGCAUCUUUCUAUAGUUUGUUGGCCAUUUCAGAACUUUAGAAAUAAAACAGUCAAUUCAUUAGAAAGAAACAACU
This is a small nucleolar RNA of Cavia porcellus (domestic guinea pig), 138 nucleotides long. Lineage: Eukaryota; Metazoa; Chordata; Mammalia; Rodentia; Caviidae. The record is from Ensembl.